This 558-nucleotide ribosomal RNA is filed under the name uncultured bacterium. RNAcentral's name for it is "bacterial SSU rRNA". It matches the Rfam family "Bacterial small subunit ribosomal RNA", at positions 515 to 1076 of the family's 1533-position model. The record is from RNAcentral.
GCGCGGUAUACAGAGGGUGCGAGCGUUAUCGGAUUUACUGGGCGUAAAGCGUGCGUAGGCGGCUUUAAGUCGGAUGUGAAAUCCCUGAGCUUGACUUAGGAAUUGCAUUCGAUACUGGGAAGCUAGAGUAUGGGAGAGGAUGGUAGAAUUCCAGGUGUAGCGGUGAAAUGCGUAGAGAUCUGGAGGAAUACCGAUGGCGAAGGCAGCCAUCUGGCCUAAUACUGACGCUGAGGUACGAAAGCAUGGGGAGCAAACAGGAUUAGAUACCCUGGUAGUCCAUGCCGUAAACGAUGUCUACUAGCCGUUGGGGCCUUUGAGGCUUUAGUGGCGCAGCUAACGCGAUAAGUAGACCGCCUGGGGAGUACGGUCGCAAGACUAAAACUCAAAUGAAUUGACGGGGGCCCGCACAAGCGGUGGAGCAUGUGGUUUAAUUCGAUGCAACGCGAAGAACCUUACCUGGUCUUGACAUAGUAAGAACUUUCCAGAGAUGGAUUGGUGCCUUCGGGAACUUACAUACAGGUGCUGCAUGGCUGUCGUCAGCUCGUGUCGUGAGAUGUU